RNAcentral lists this long non-coding RNA (3894 nucleotides) under Limulus polyphemus (Atlantic horseshoe crab). RNAcentral's name for it is "uncharacterized LOC111086320". Lineage: Eukaryota; Metazoa; Arthropoda; Merostomata; Xiphosura; Limulidae. The record is from RNAcentral.
UUCACUCCAGUACUGAAUCAAACACAGUGGCACCACUCACUUCUUUCUAUUUUUGGAAACAGUCCCUAAUAUACACUUCUGUAUAUAAGAAGUGAAUAAUGUCCCCCUAGUGGCUUUCUCAGCUUCUCAGCCAUCUUCAUGUGUUAUGAUGUCAUUACACAUUUUCAAUACAAAUCUUCAUGCUGAUAAGGUUUCUCAAAACACAUGGUCAAGAAAGCCAUUAAGGUGAAUUCAUUCUAGCUGCCUUUGUUCCUUUAUUCCUGAGUGGAUAAUAACCAUUCUGCCAGAGGGAAGGGAGGUGAUAUUGCUGCAGUAUUGCAUGUUGUUCAAGGUCAUUGUCAGCAGUUUCCUUCAGUGGUCAAUGAGGUGAUAUCUAGAGGUUAUGUUGCAGUGAGAACAACUAAUCAUGUGGGUAGUACUAGUCACUCAGGGUAAAUGGAACAUUUCUUGCAAACUAAGGAAUAUUGGAUUUAAACAGUCUAGAACAGAAUCUUGAAGAAGAAGAAGAAGCAGCAGCAAGAAUCUAGUAAAAUCAACAGUCCCAUGUAAGAAAAAGCAAGUACACACAGACACUGUGUUUCUGUUUAAUGUAAUAAUAAAGAUUGCUAACUUUGCAUUUUACUUUGCAUCCAGUCCCAUUAUUCCAUUUGACAUCAUAACUCAGUUAAUAAGAGAGCUAGUAUUACUUCACAGUCAAUAUCUCGACCGAAUCUGAAGUUAUUAAGCAGAUCUAUCUAUUAGAAAGGUUUGCUCAAUUUAGCUGAAUAUGUCACAUAGUUACAAAAGUUAUGCCAUUAUUCAUUAUUUUUAAGCUACUUCUUACUUCAACUGUACACUGAGCUAGAAUCAGUCUCAUUGGUAAUGAAAUGUGUUUUCUUGCAUGAAAGAUGGUUGCCAUUUCAAUUGUGAUGUUACAAGAUAGACAGUUGUCUUUAAUUGCUCAGCAAAUUGGGUAAUAGCAUGGGGCUUCCUUGCACCUGUGUUCAAGCAGGAGUGGGCUGUGUACAGCCUGGGUUUGUUUAUGUAUAGUUUGUUUUUAUAUUUAAAAGCCAAGCUCUUCCCUACUAUUCAGUUUUGUAGGUUUUCUAGAAAAUGUGUUUGAGAACAUUAUUAUAGAAGUAGAUUAUUUGUUGAAUUUAUGCAUUUCUUGAACAAAUACUCAAAGUUUCCCUGUUAUCAUAGUUUCUUGUUUGAGGGUUUUAUCUUGAACUUUUCUUCUUAACUGGCAAGAGAGAAUUAAUAAAGUUUCUAUCACACUGUCACUCUUUCCAAUUCUACACACACUUAUCAAACAUUUGCACAUGUUUUGUAUUGUGUCUGUGUUUUAUUAAUUAUUAUUUUUUUAAUUUUGAAUUUCUGUAUCAUCUCUUUUUAAUAAGAAACUCAAUUGGAGUAAGGCUGGAACAGACACAUACUCCAUAAUAAAAUAUUAGCCGUAUCUCCAGUUUUGUGAGUCUUGCCCUUUUAUUCUAAGGGAAUUAAGUGUAACUAUGAAUAUUGUAUUCUAGGUUAAUAUUGUUGUAUUGGACACUGAUUUAUAGUAGUAUUAGGUAAGACAAUAUUAUUGUGUUUAUUACAACAUAAUAGUGAUAUAAAGUGGGUCAAUAUAAUUAUAUCUGCACUACUUUCUAGUCAAAUAGAUAAGUACUGUUCUUUCUAGCAGUACUUAAUAGUAACAUGAAAUUACAUUUUCCUUCUUUAUUAUAGUUAGAAACUUCUGUUUCUGUAUUUAUAUGAAUUGAUAUAAUGCACUACCUUACAUUGUCACUGAAAAAGUGAUAGUAAUAAUGCAAUGAGCAAUAAAACGAUUACAAGGAUAAAUGGAACUUGUAACCUUAUAGUUAUAAUAAUGUCUCUCACUACCUUGUCUCAUUUUCAAAUUCAAUGGACCAUAGAAUCAAAAAUGCUUCAGUCUCUUACCAUGGCUAGACUUCAAAGAAUACAUUUGGAUGUUUCACUCCAAUGGAAAGACAUUGGAUGAAUGGAAGCUAAUACAGUUAAAUAUGCAAUUGCAAGUUGGCUAUGAGUGACUGAAAGUGUCAUUAUUAGAAUCUGGAACUAUUUCGAAUCCAAUGAUAACAAAAAGUAGAUGACCACUAUUUAUCGGUUACAGAAUGCUGUAAUCAUACAAUAUCUGCUUUGAAAUUGAAUCACAUGUCCUCAGUGUGUGUCAAUAUACAGAUGAUUAGAAACAGGCUUCACAAGGCCAGCCUAUAUUCUAGCAACCUAAGAAAGCAUUGCACUCGCAACAAAGCACAAAAUAGCUCCCUGGAAAUGGUGCUAAGAGCAUAUCCAGUAAUGAAUAACGUAUAGCCAUAUUCUUUUUAUAUAUGAAUCUCACACUAUGCAGCCAGGUAGGAGGCAUGCACGAAGUUGGAAAUAAUCUUGUACCAGACAAAAUCCCAUUUCUUACAAUUGUUUGAUGCAUUCAUGCAUAAGGUAGUGGUAGAAGAAUAGUGUGGGUAGGAAUAAGCAUUUAUGGACACCUAACUUCUAUAUACUACAGAAUGAUACCAUUAACCGUUACAUUAAUGACUUAUUUACAUACCAUUUACUACUGGUGAAUUCCACACAUUACAAUCUGUUGAGUAAUUUUAUGUUUUUGCCUAUUGCAAUACUCGGUGUAAAAAAAUUACCAAACAAUAUUAACAGUAUUUUUUUAUUUACAUGUUUUGUCACCUGUAUGUUAUUAUAAAUCCUGUAACCAAACAAAGACAAUUAGAUGUAUAAGUAGUUUUAAAAAAUGUGUUCAAAAAAUCUAAUAGUAAUUCUAGGGUUGAUGCACAUAUUAUAGGGACUACAUCCUAUGACCCAUUGUGCUGCCAUAUGGUGAUACAAUUGGCUCUGAUUUAAGUUUCACAGGUGAUAACAACUAUUUUUACUGUGUUAAAAUAAUCAGUGUAUUUCAUGAAGAAGAGAUUAACCAAAGGAGUAACUGCACAUUCGCCAGACUUCAUUCACAUCAAACAUGUAUGGGAUACUCUGAAGAGAUGGGUUAUAUCCCAUUAAGUUGCUCCAUGCACUAAAGGUGUUUUAAAAACAGCUCUUUCAAAGGUGUGAUCAAGGACAUUUAGUAAUUUAUUAUAAACAUACUCAUUUUAAUCCAACAUCAUUGGCGCCAGACUGCCCUUGCUGGACAUGUUGACCAUAAUCCAUAUUGGAGUAAUAUGUCAUGAAUUGUAAAGAUAUAAAGCCACCUCUACAGCAUGUUCAUAAAAGAGCAUAGGUUGAUCAAUUAUACAGUUUUCACAUCACAUGCUAGAUCAUCUUAAUGAUUUAUGUUAACAAGGAUUAAGGGGAACAAUUAAAGUUAUUUUAUAAUUGUGAUUUUCUGCCUUGUCACAACUAAAGUGUUAUAAGUUCCAAAUAUUUUUGAAUUGUUUUAUGCAGUGUAAUUACACAUACACACAAGCAUUAAUAUCAUCAUAUAAAAAUAAUUUUACAUAGGUGUCAGCCAUUGAUUAAAUAUUGUUAAAUAUAUGAUAGUUGAAAACUGCCAGAUUUUUACCUUAAAAAUUAAUUAAAUAUGUAAAGGUAAAAUUUUCAAAGUUUUUGUUGCAGGUUUAUUGCAUUUUGUCUUGUUGUUGAGAAUUAUAUCUCAGUGACUAGGUGGUAUAGAGGUUUGUACAACUUGGUAUGAGCUAGGGAUUAAUCUACUCUUGAAUGCAAUAAGAAAGAUCACUAUUAUAAGUAACUUAAGAUAGUAGUAUACUGCACCAGGACCCAAUUUUUAUUCAAUGAUGAAAUAUCUUGCCAUUCCAUUCCAGCAGCCAGUGUGUUCUUAUACAAGGACAACAGAAUCUAGCCAGCUUGUGUAUUGAAUACUGUAAUACAGUCUGUGUUUAAGGAGAUAUCAACACUGUAUCUGUGUGAAUAAAUAACAUUUUUAUUUCA